UUUCGCAAUGCCCGAAAGGGUGACGAAGCGACGCCGCGUGGGUGAGGAAGGCCUUCGGGUUGUAAAGCCCUGUCAGGAGUUAAGAAAUGUAAGUGCGCUAAUAUCGCAUUUAUUUGACGAAGGCUCCAAAGGAAGCCACGGCUAACUCUGUGCCAGCAGCCGCGGUAAUACAGAGGUGGCAAGCGUUGUUCGGAAUUAUUGGGCGUAAAGAGCACGUAGGUGGGUUUGUAAGUCAGAUGUGAAAGCCUUCUGUUCAACGGAAGAAUUGCAUCUGAAACUGCGGGCCUUGAGUGUAGGAGGGGAGAAUGGAACUUCUGGUGGAGCGGUGAAAUGCGUGGAUAUCAGAAGGAACGCCGGCGGCGAAAGCGAUUCUCUGGCCUAUUACUGACACUCAGUGUGCGAAAGCUAGGGGAGCAAACGGGAUUAGAUACCCCGGUAGUCCUAGCCGUAAACGAUGGGCACUAAGUAGAGGGGUUUUA
Molecule: ribosomal RNA, 479 nt
Filed under: uncultured bacterium
Lineage: Bacteria
Description: bacterial SSU rRNA
Rfam family: Bacterial small subunit ribosomal RNA
Source: RNAcentral